GAAAUAUUGACUUUUUUAAAUUUUAAAGGUAUUUCUAGUGCAAAUAUCAUAAAUCUCGAAUGAUAUUAUCGUAGCAACAAGUUCCACGUUACUGUUUAGUUUCAAUACUUCAGGAGACCAGAACAUAGACAGCUGGGUAUUCAGGAAGAACAUCCCGACUGAAAUGAUACCCGUUUGGUUGGAUACACAUUUGAACGAGCAACCUGGGAAGAAUAGUUAUGCUCCGCUUUGUAGAGGCCGACAACAACCUUCAGUUCCGCGGUCAAACUUUGGAAAAGGACAGGAUUGCGCCAAUGCCCUCAUUAUGUUCUAGUCUCGGUACGACCUCCGAACCGAACCAAUCCAAUGCAUGGAUCCAAGACGAUGCUGCCUAAACAUAUCGAUAAGAGAUCGCAACAGUUAAAGCUCUAUAUGUUGCUGAUA
This is a long non-coding RNA of Armigeres subalbatus, 423 nucleotides long. RefSeq lists it as uncharacterized. Lineage: Eukaryota; Metazoa; Arthropoda; Insecta; Diptera; Culicidae. The transcript has 3 exons. The record is from RefSeq and is a predicted model, not a curated record.